UAUAUAUAUAUUUUAGUAAGUGGAGAUAACAAUCAUGUUAGAGUAAGUGGACAUCAAUACUUUAGCUUUCCUUAGCACAUUUUAGAAAUGAGAGCAUUCAAUCUCAAACAUACAGAUUGUAUGUCCUUGUUUUUUCCCCAAAUAUGCUGCUUGCAGUGUCGGGCAAAUAUGGGCUAUGCAGGUUGGUAAGGCUUUUCCCAGCUUUAUCAAAAGAGAUUUUUUUGUGCAGGCUGCUGCAUGUGAGUAUCAUCAUUCACGGCAUGUGCUCUGUAAUGUUGGU
Molecule: long non-coding RNA, 280 nt
Filed under: Malus domestica (apple)
Lineage: Eukaryota; Viridiplantae; Streptophyta; Magnoliopsida; Rosales; Rosaceae
Description: long non-coding RNA (MDOM_LNC000471)
Source: RNAcentral